GUUUUGUGUGGAUUGACUGCUUCUUCGGGAGAGGAAAGUCCGGACACGAACAUUUGAAAAAGUGUAGCAGGUAGCAGGUAACCCCUGUCGUACGCAAGUAUAGAGGUGCGAGCAGUGACGAUGGACCCGAAAGGGAAAGACAUCUCUCGAGAUGAGCUCUAUGGUGACAUAGAGGUGAAACGGCUAAAUCCUUACCUUCGUGCAAGAUCGUGCUUAGUUCUUCGGAACUUCGAGAAUCGCUAGAGGUCAACGGCGACGUAGAUCCCAGACAGAUGGUCAUUUAAACAGAAUCCGGCUUACGAGCACAAAACUAAU
This is an RNase P RNA of 315 nucleotides. It matches the Rfam family "Bacterial RNase P class A". From Rfam's summary of the family: Ribonuclease P (RNase P) is a ubiquitous endoribonuclease, found in archaea, bacteria and eukarya as well as chloroplasts and mitochondria. Its best characterised activity is the generation of mature 5'-ends of tRNAs by cleaving the 5'-leader elements of precursor-tRNAs.